This 60-nucleotide microRNA precursor is filed under the name Branchiostoma lanceolatum (amphioxus). RNAcentral's name for it is "Bla-Mir-4861_pre stem-loop". Lineage: Eukaryota; Metazoa; Chordata; Leptocardii; Amphioxiformes; Branchiostomatidae. The record is from RNAcentral.
AGCCAAUGCGGCAUGUAAAAGGCUGAACUGUUCUGUGUCUUUACGUGCCACAUUGUCUCC